Long non-coding RNA from Telopea speciosissima, 495 nucleotides. RefSeq lists it as uncharacterized. The record is from RefSeq and is a predicted model, not a curated record. Lineage: Eukaryota; Viridiplantae; Streptophyta; Magnoliopsida; Proteales; Proteaceae. The transcript is spliced from 4 exons.
AAAAGAAACAACAGACACAUUCGGGGAAUGAAAAUGACAAUGUUAAUGUUUCCUCUGAUGACUCUAGUAGAUCCCAAAGGCCAGCUAUUAGACGGUCAUUUCCUGUACUAUCUCGAAGGAGAAGGAAUAUUCCUUGGACAGAUGAAGAGGAGAAAAUUCUAGUGGAAGGAGUACGGAGAUUUUCAAGUACUUAUUCUAAAAAUUUACCAUGGAAGCAGAUCCUGGAAUUUGGUUGCCAUGUAUUUCAUAAAAGCCGUAACCCAGUUGACCUUAAGGAUAAAUGGAGGAACAUUUGCACCAAAGGAGAUCCAAGAGCUAGGUGAAAAUGAAGACCUGAUGUUGGAUGCUUGAGAUUGGAGAGCUCUACAUGUUCUCAGACGACAUCUCUAGACUUUAUCAUUUAUCUUCACUUUUGAGGGAAGGGGACUUUUGCUUCUUGACAAGGCACAAGCAGGUGGUUUUCUAGUGGAAAUUGCCUUCUCCAAUGGAGAUUAG